CCUACGGGAGGCUGCAGUGGGGAAUAUUGCACAAUGGGGGAAACCCUGAUGCAGCGACGCCGCGUGAGUGAAGAAGUAUCUCGGUAUGUAAAGCUCUAUCAGCAGGGAAGAAAAUGACGGUACCUGACUAAGAAGCCCCGGCUAACUACGUGCCAGCAGCCGCAGUACUACGUAGGGGGCAAGCGUUAUCCGGAUUUACUGGGUGUAAAGGGGGCGCAGACGGCGAUGCAAGCCAGGAGUGAAAGUCCUGGGGCCAACCCCGGGACUGCUGUUGGAACUGCGUGGCUAGAGUGCAGGAGGGGCAGGCGGAAUUCCUGGUGUAGCGGUGAAAUGCGUAGAUAUCAGGAGGAACACCGGUGGCGAAGGCGGCAUGCUGGACUGGAACUGACGUUGAGGCCCGAAAGCGUGGGGAGCAAACAGGAUUAGAUACCCUUGUAGUC
This 440-nucleotide ribosomal RNA is filed under the name uncultured bacterium. Its description in RNAcentral is "partial 16S ribosomal RNA". It matches the Rfam family "Bacterial small subunit ribosomal RNA", at positions 338 to 795 of the family's 1533-position model. The record is from RNAcentral.